This 325-nucleotide long non-coding RNA is filed under the name Heterocephalus glaber (naked mole-rat). Its description in RNAcentral is "lncRNA (ENSHGLG00000033955.1)". The record is from RNAcentral. Lineage: Eukaryota; Metazoa; Chordata; Mammalia; Rodentia; Bathyergidae.
AGGGAGGGCUCAGAGGCCACUAGGAGGUCCCCAACCAGAGUCCCCGCUGUCUCCUGACACCCAGGAACGCGCCUGCCUCAGCAUCUCUGCUGAAGUCAAGCAGCUGGUAAAGACAAGGUCUUGGACCUUGGAGCACAGCCGCCCCAGUAUCCUUGUCUGCAGCUGGAGCUUGGCAAGUACUGGAGAUUGAACUCAGGACCUUGUGCUUGCCAAGCAGCUCAUCCUUCAACGUGAGAGGAAGGGGAAGAGCCCAAAGACAGAGGUCUGGGAGUGGAGUGGAAGUUUGUCUCCCCAGGGCCUACCUCAGUGCCUUCUUGAUGUGUGG